Eriocheir sinensis (Chinese mitten crab) is the source of this 1299-nucleotide long non-coding RNA. RefSeq lists it as uncharacterized. Lineage: Eukaryota; Metazoa; Arthropoda; Malacostraca; Decapoda; Varunidae. The transcript has 6 exons. The record is from RefSeq and is a predicted model, not a curated record.
CUUCCUCCCGGUCAGCUGAUCCGAGGUGGACGGCGUUCCGCGUGUCGGCCAAUUUUCUUGUAAUCCAGGACGACACAGACGGCCAUGGAUGGAAGCAAGAUGCUGGACUUUGUGGACCCUGGCGGCCAUGAGGAGGUGUCCGUGGGCGCUGGGCAAGGCCGAGAGCGAGGAGUACAGCACACUGGAUGAGGGGGACCAUGGAUGGUGCAGGGCUCUCAGGAGAUGGACAAGCAGAAACAGGGGACCAAAACUCACAGGUAUUCUUCAUUGAGUGUGUGAGUGCUGCUGUCGUCACCAUGAACACCUGCUUGGAGGCACCAAGACCCGUCAAGCCAGUCCGCCCUGCAAGACUGCCUGGUCAAGAUGGGGUCCAGCCUUGCACAGAACUGCUUGGCUGGCCAGUGCCACAAGUUGGUGGUGACAAAGUAAAGCCCUCCAUGACUGCUACAGCCUGAUGGAUGGAUCUCAUGGUAGGGUAUGAUGGGCUGAGAGAGAAGGAUGAUGAUGUAGCAAGGUGUGUGGUGACCCAGGCUGUGGAGGGUGGCUGCCACACUCACUGCUCCAGCCACUCACAGCUGUACCUCAGGAGCCAGACACCAUCUGCUUCACUCCUGCCCAGACUUUGCCACUCACACCCAACAGCUGCUUCAUCUUAAGGGUUGUGAGCCCCAUGCUAUUGAGUCUCUCCUCGUAAGUCCGAUCCCUAAGUUCCGGUACCAUCUUAGUUGCCAUUCUCUGUACUCUUUCCAGCUUUUUUAUAUUCUUCUUUUCGUGAGGAGACCAGACCACUGCUGCAUACUCCAACCUUGGCCUUAUCAUUGUAACUAUUAAUUUCUUCAUCAUCUCCUCGUCCAAAUACACAAAUGCCGUCCUUAUGUUCCUCAGCAAAUUCAUAGUUUGUCCCGUUAUCCUGUUGAUGUGUUUGUCCGGUGACAUGUUCUCUGAGACAGUCACUCCCAAAUCUUUUUCUUCCACUCCUCUGCAUAUUAUCUCACUUCCCAUCUUAUAAUCAUAUUCACAUCUACUGCUCCUCCCAAACUCUAUUUUUUUUACAUUUCCCAAGGUUGAAUUCCAUCUGCCAUGUACCACUCCACUCCCAUAUUUUGUCCAGGUCCCUCUGCAAUGCCUCACAGUCCUUCACAUCAUUGACUCAUCUCAAUAGCUUUGCAUCAUCUGCAAACAAACUCACAUGGCUGGUCACUCCGUCCACCAUAUCAUUUAUAUAAACAGCAAACAUUAUUGGUGCCAGCACCGAACCUUGUGGGACCCCACUCCUCACUGGGCACCAGUUGGAAUCCC